RNAcentral lists this ribosomal RNA (1510 nucleotides) under Helicobacter pylori. RNAcentral describes it as "bacterial SSU rRNA". It matches the Rfam family "Bacterial small subunit ribosomal RNA". The record is from RNAcentral. Lineage: Bacteria; Pseudomonadati; Campylobacterota; Epsilonproteobacteria; Campylobacterales; Helicobacteraceae.
UUUUAUGGAGAGUUUGAUCCUGGCUCAGAGUGAACGCUGGCGGCGUGCCUAAUACAUGCAAGUCGAACGAUGAAGCUUCUAGCUUGCUAGAGUGCUGAUUAGUGGCGCACGGGUGAGUAACGCAUAGGUCAUGUGCCUCUUAGUUUGGGAUAGCCAUUGGAAACGAUGAUUAAUACCAGAUACUCCCUACGGGGGAAAGAUUUAUCGCUAAGAGAUCAGCCUAUGUCCUAUCAGCUUGUUGGUAAGGUAAUGGCUUACCAAGGCUAUGACGGGUAUCCGGCCUGAGAGGGUGAACGGACACACUGGAACUGAGACACGGUCCAGACUCCUACGGGAGGCAGCAGUAGGGAAUAUUGCUCAAUGGGGGAAACCCUGAAGCAGCAACGCCGCGUGGAGGAUGAAGGUUUUAGGAUUGUAAACUCCUUUUGUUAGAGAAGAUAAUGACGGUAUCUAACGAAUAAGCACCGGCUAACUCCGUGCCAGCAGCCGCGGUAAUACGGAGGGUGCAAGCGUUACUCGGAAUCACUGGGCGUAAAGAGCGCGUAGGCGGGGUAGUCAGUCAGGUGUGAAAUCCUAUGGCUUAACCAUAGAACUGCAUUUGAAACUACUAUUCUAGAGUGUGGGAGAGGUAGGUGGAAUUCUUGGUGUAGGGGUAAAAUCCGUAGAGAUCAAGAGGAAUACUCAUUGCGAAGGCGACCUGCUGGAACAUUACUGACGCUGAUUGCACGAAAGCGUGGGGAGCAAACAGGAUUAGAUACCCUGGUAGUCCACGCCCUAAACGAUGGAUGCUAGUUGUUGGAGGGCUUAGUCUCUCCAGUAAUGCAGCUAACGCAUUAAGCAUCCCGCCUGGGGAGUACGGUCGCAAGAUUAAAACUCAAAGGAAUAGACGGGGACCCGCACAAGCGGUGGAGCAUGUGGUUUAAUUCGAAGAUACACGAAGAACCUUACCUAGGCUUGACAUUGAGAGAAUCCGCUAGAAAUAGUGGAGUGUCUAGCUUGCUAGACCUUGAAAACAGGUGCUGCACGGCUGUCGUCAGCUCGUGUCGUGAGAUGUUGGGUUAAGUCCCGCAACGAGCGCAACCCCCUUUCUUAGUUGCUAACAGGUUAUGCUGAGAACUCUAAGGAUACUGCCUCCGUAAGGAGGAGGAAGGUGGGGACGACGUCAAGUCAUCAUGGCCCUUACGCCUAGGGCUACACACGUGCUACAAUGGGGUGCACAAAGAGAAGCAAUACUGCGAAGUGGAGCCAAUCUUCAAAACACCUCUCAGUUCGGAUUGUAGGCUGCAACUCGCCUGCAUGAAGCUGGAAUCGCUAGUAAUCGCAAAUCAGCCAUGUUGCGGUGAAUACGUUCCCGGGUCUUGUACUCACCGCCCGUCACACCAUGGGAGUUGUGUUUGCCUUAAGUCAGGAUGCUAAAUUAGCUACUGCCCACGGCACACACAGCGACUGGGGUGAAGUCGUAACAAGGUAACCGUAGGUGAACCUGCGGUUGGAUCACCUCCUUUCUAGA